This 83-nucleotide transfer RNA is filed under the name Gracilariopsis chorda. RNAcentral's name for it is "Gracilaria chorda tRNA". It matches the Rfam family "tRNA". Rfam says of the family: Transfer RNA (tRNA) molecules are approximately 80 nucleotides in length. Lineage: Eukaryota; Rhodophyta; Florideophyceae; Gracilariales; Gracilariaceae. The record is from Rfam by way of RNAcentral.
GUUCGUGUAGUAUAAUGGUUAAGUCAGCCGACGUAUAUCUCGCUGUCACCGAGGAGAUCCGGGUUCAAUUCCCGGCACGAGCU